GACCUUUCUAUGUGUUGUUGGUAGGUCAUCACUUGAAAUAUCAGGUUGGAUUUAGAACGCCAGCCAGAUGCCCAUGGUAAUGAAGUUUCUCGUACAAUUUUUGAUUAAUGUAGGUAUCUGGCUAGAGCAGAUUAUGUGAUUCAGUUCACAUAAAAUGCUAGAGCAGAAGCUUACACUAAUUAUUCCAAGUUAACGUCAGAAAAGUUUGAUUGGAGUUGAUUGAUAUGAAUAUUAUGAAGAGUAAAGGUAUUAAUGCCGAGAUGAUGCUUAAAUUUUCUUUUUAUUUUAGACGAUUGUUGUUUUUAUGUUUGAUAAUCUAAAUCAGGGUUUUGAAUACC
RNAcentral lists this long non-coding RNA (338 nucleotides) under Musa acuminata (dwarf banana). Its description in RNAcentral is "long non-coding RNA (MACU_LNC005640)". Lineage: Eukaryota; Viridiplantae; Streptophyta; Magnoliopsida; Zingiberales; Musaceae. The record is from RNAcentral.